UGCAAUAUGAUCCCAAUGGCCAUGCUCUCCCCAAAGUUUUUUCCCCUGCUCCUUAAAGGCCAUUGGCCUGUUUAGCAGCUGAGUUUGAUUAGGGUACCAGUUAAGUUGGUGAUGGUCCAUAUGUGCUUGAGGCUAUAAAUGCCCAUUCAGAUCCUACUUUGAAAAGUGAUAUUGUAGCAGAUCCGACUGUUGUGACUGCUGAUGUUUCGAAGAAUACCUCUGAAGUUGAGCCCAACUUGGUUGGUGACCUUGCUUCUUCUAAGGAGAUUUGAAG
Molecule: long non-coding RNA, 274 nt
Filed under: Manihot esculenta (cassava)
Lineage: Eukaryota; Viridiplantae; Streptophyta; Magnoliopsida; Malpighiales; Euphorbiaceae
Description: long non-coding RNA (MESC_LNC011243)
Source: RNAcentral